UCUCUCUCUCUCUUUGAUAGAUGUGCGUGCACAUUUUCCAAACAAUUUUUGAUCGAGUAUGUUAACUCUCCAUCAUCCUUUGUUGAUGAAAAGAGAUUCUCAUCUAUCGAGAAAACCCAUUAUUGUUCUCAUCCUGUGCAUUGUGCAAUACGUAUUUAUAUAUAAAUUAUUAACAGUUAAAUUUCUCAAGCUAAUAUCUCUCUAUCAGUGUUUUACCAUGAAAUCUUAAUGUUCAAUGGAUCAAUUGUAAUUCUUUAUGGAAGUGUACAUGUUCAAUGGGUCAAGAAAAGCAAUACAAUCCAGUGGAAAUUUUCAAAUUUUAUCAAGGUUAUAAUUCAGGCCAAAAAGAGAGAGAGAGAGAGAG
Molecule: unclassified non-coding RNA, 364 nt
Filed under: Hevea brasiliensis (rubber tree)
Lineage: Eukaryota; Viridiplantae; Streptophyta; Magnoliopsida; Malpighiales; Euphorbiaceae
Source: RNAcentral